GCGCGCAUUAAACAUAUAAAUAAUAUCAAAUUUUCUUGUCUCUGUGUAGCUUUUUUCUAUGUAAUAACAUGCGUUUCGUAAAAAAUGUGUUUUGCGUACUUUAGGAUUUCGUACGGCUAUAAGAUAUAAUUUUUUUUUGUUUUGCGAACGUUCACUAAAGUGGUAAUUUUCCCGCCAGACAUAAAAUCGCUCCCGUUUGUUCGUACGGACCGUUAUAACGCACAAUACAUAUCGGACGAGGAAGAAUAAUACAAUUUCUACCAAUAAAAUAUAAAGCUCAUCCCCCUCUCCCGUAUUGUUAACAAUUUUAAGCGUAUUUGUUCGGUUUAACCUCACCAAUGACUAUAAUAUUAUAGUAAAACGUAUGCAUAUUAAAGACUCAUAUCCGGGCACAAAAACAGGAACGUAUUG
This is a non-coding RNA of Cinara cedri, 411 nucleotides long. The record is from the annotation of a GenBank genome assembly. Lineage: Eukaryota; Metazoa; Arthropoda; Insecta; Hemiptera; Aphididae.